AGGAUGAACGCUGGCGGCGUGCUUAACACAUGCAAGUCGAGCGGAAAGGCCCUUCGGGGUACUCGAGCGGCGAACGGGUGAGUAACACGUGAGUAACCUGCCCUUGGCUCUGGGAUAGCUCCGGGAAACCGGAAUUAAUACCGGAUAUGACUUCGGCCGACAUCGGCUGCGGUGGAAAGAUUUAUCGGCCAGGGAUGGGCUCGCGGCCUAUCAGCUAGUUGGUGGGGUAACGGCCUACCAAGGCGACGACGGGUAGCCGGCCUGAGAGGGCGACCGGCCACACUGGGACUGAGACACGGCCCAGACUCCUACGGGAGGCAGCAGUGGGGAAUAUUGCGCAAUGGGCGAAAGCCUGACGCAGCGACGCCGCGUGGGGGAUGAAGGCCUUCGGGUUGUAAACCCCUUUCGGCAGGGACGAAGCGAAAGUGACGGUACCUGCAGAAGAAGCGCCGGCUAACUACGCGCCAGCAGCCGC
RNAcentral lists this ribosomal RNA (475 nucleotides) under uncultured bacterium. Its description in RNAcentral is "SSU rRNA". It matches the Rfam family "Bacterial small subunit ribosomal RNA", at positions 26 to 518 of the family's 1533-position model. The record is from RNAcentral.